GUGAAUCUUAUCAUCCAUGUUAACAAGACAAUUUCUGGUCCCAGCCUAGAGUCAGAAUUUCCGGGGCGUUGGGGGUGGGGUUGGGAAGCUGUGCUGCGCAAGCUUCGCCGGUGAUUCUCAUCACCACAGAAGGACUGGUUUCAGGUGUGCCUUCCUGCCAGGUGAGGGAGAGCCUUUAAAAGAGGUGUAGUCAUCAAGCGCACAGACUUUUUAUUUUCACUGUCUGGGUUUGCCUCUCAGCACUGCUUCGUGAAGUAUCGCCAUCUUAGACAGUUGCCAUGCAAGAGGGUGCUGGUUCUCCUUGGCCUUUACCCGCUGGCCUUGAUGGUUUUAGACCUUUAACCAGACUUAAGUUCCAGCAGUCACCUAAAGUUAUCACCCCUUCCUCAUUGGAGACAAUGAAUCAUCCCCACCCCGUAGAGGGCCCUCUCCUGGAGGAAAAGAAGAACAAUCGGAGAGCAGAUUUGUGGUUUGGGGGAGAAAGACCUACAUAUCUCUGAAUUCUGAAAAGAACAGCCACUUUGGCAAAGGCGCUAACCUGCACUAAUGUACAUCUUCCAGUGAAGAAAGGCUACCCAAGACCACGUUUUCAGCCAAAGGUGUUUUAAAAGGAAACCAACUGUGUAUUUAAACAUGGAGGGGUCUAGUGAGGCUCUCUUUGCUAGUUCUGAAAUCACUUUUCUGAACAAACACAUCUUCUCACACAUAAGUGGGUGUUGAACAGUUGAGAAUACAUGGACACAGGGAGGGGAACAUCACACACCAGGACCUGGAGGGUGGGGGAUUAGGGGAGGAAUAGCAGGGAGUGGGGGGAUUGGGGAGGGAAAACAUUGGGAAAAAUACCUAAUGUAGAUGAUGGGGUGAUGGAUGCAGCAAACCACCACCAUGGCACAUGUAUACCUAUGUAACAAACCUGCACGAUCUGCACAUGUACCCUAGAACUUAAAGUAUAAUCAAUUAAAAAAGAAAAGACUUUUCUGGCAUUAGUUCCUUAAAUUUGGACUAGCUUCAAUAUGCAAUCCUAGGGCUAUGUAAGCACUCGAAUGGGUUUGAAUCUAAUAGUAUGCAAGAACCAUAUAUUUCUUAUUCUUUUCUGAAGUUCAACUUAAUUUGUACAGUCAUGCACUGCUUGACAAUGGG
Molecule: long non-coding RNA, 1140 nt
Filed under: Callithrix jacchus (white-tufted-ear marmoset)
Lineage: Eukaryota; Metazoa; Chordata; Mammalia; Primates; Cebidae
Description: lncRNA (ENSCJAG00000055635.2)
Source: RNAcentral